GAUUGGGUGCAGGAGGAAAAGGGGACGACAGAGGAUGAGAUGGCUGGAUGGCAUCACCGACUCGAUGGACGUGAGUUUGAGUGAACUCCGGGAGAUGGUGUUGGACAGGGAGGCCUGGCGUGCUGUGAUUCAUAGGGUAGCAAAGAGUCGGACACGACUGUGACUGAACUGAACUGAACUGUAUAUUCUAGAUCCUGGACAAAAGGGGGCGCUGCCAAGCCAUAGAUGAAGACUCAGAGUUAAUUUCUGCUUUAAAUUUCCAAAACUCACUAGGAUCUGCUAUAACCCCGAGGAGAAAAAAUUUUUCUCAACAGACACAUUUGGCAUUUAUAGAUUUUGCAGCUGCUGUGAAUUUAUCUAACUGCAGAGGAUUUCUAAAAAACUCAUCUGAUUGAAGAGGACAUGUAGAAACUUCCUUUGGGCCAUAGGGUCAAGAUCUUCGUUUUAUGAUGAUACGUGUAGUGAACAAAUCGAUUCUGAGGCUACCCACAUGUAGACUCAGACCUGGAAUGGACCUAGAGAGGUCACCUUCAUCUCCCACUCUUUUCUCUUCUGAUGGAGAUACAACCCCUCAUGCAUCAGCCCAGCUCCAAUCAAGAACAUACUCUCUUCCUGGCCAUAGUUACCCUGCACUCUCUGCCUUUUCCACUGGGGAACCUGGCAUCAGUGAAAUUCACCAGACUGACCCUGUGUUGGCCACUGGUGGGGAACAGACAAAAGGGCCCUUUUCUUAAACCACUUGGGGAUCAUAAAUGUCAAGUUGCCAAUUAUGAAUGAUAAGCAAAGUGGAAGACAUGGAAGAUAUCAAUGUAUCUUUUCAAACACUUACCAUGCAUUAAUAGCUAUUAGUUUAUUGAAUUUCUCAUGUUCACUGAUCUUGAUGUUUUAUGGAUUAAAAAAAAACUGAGAUUUAUGAAGAGGGAAGGGAAUUAAUAUGUGUUAAAACCUAUGGGGACCUAGCAUAUAGUAAGCACAUGGAGUUCUGCUCAAUGUUAUGUGGCAGCCUGGAUGGGAGGGGAGUUUGGGGGAGAAUGGAUACAUGUGUAUGUACGGCUGAGCCCCUUCACUGUUCACCUGAAACUAUCAAAAUAUUGUUAAUCAGCUAUACCCCAAUACAAAACAAAGUUUUUUCUUAAAAAAAUUAUGAUACAGAGAUUAUUUUAUAUUUUUUCCAAU
This is a long non-coding RNA of Bos taurus (domestic cattle), 1176 nucleotides long. The record is from Ensembl. Lineage: Eukaryota; Metazoa; Chordata; Mammalia; Artiodactyla; Bovidae.